Molecule: long non-coding RNA, 3584 nt
Organism: Mya arenaria
Lineage: Eukaryota; Metazoa; Mollusca; Bivalvia; Myida; Myidae
Exons: 3
Source: RefSeq, a predicted model, not a curated record
AAUUCCGUGUAAUUGUAUUGUUGCUUUCCAGAAUUUAGUAUUUCUAAAAUCACGAGCUUAAAACUAAGGUUGAUUUCAAGGUUCAGCAUCCGGAGCACUGAAUGCCCUGCAAUAUGUUUAUGAUAACCAUGAUGAAGGACGCGGUGAAACAGUUUUAGUGUUAAAAGGUUCUUAAAGCUACUUCCGGAAUUAAACAAACAAUGCCAGGACUUACCAAUUUGGAAAACGGCGAAAGAGGUAAUGCUAUCAGAGAAUCUAAUGAAGAGGCGAUACAGACGGACGAGAAACGGAAGAAAUUAAGUGACAAGAAAUUGGAAAAUCAACUCGAGAUCGAAAUCGGAAUACAAGAAAUUGCUAAGAGUAUCAUUACCAUAAUUUCCGUACCUCUAAAGACCAUCGCCUCAUUUGCAGAAUAGCACCCGAUCAUUUUCACGUCAGGCGCUGUUUUGACAGUUGGGUUGCUCUACUCAAAAGGACCUGCGAUUCUUGCAUAUCUUAAAUCCACACCAGUUGUUACAAAAACUGUGGUCGAGACUACUCUACCGGCUGAUACUGCAGAUAAAUUAUUAGCAGUGGUUGUUUGAGCUUGAAGACAAAAAGGUCUGACAGAUGUUAAGACUUAAACAUGUUUGUUAAAUUGCAUGAUAAAAUACAAUUAUGAACAAAGUAUUACAUGUUGUUUAGAUAAUGUUAUAUUUGUAUCUCUUUGUUAACAUUGUCAGACAGGGUUAUGUAGAAUAUAUGCAAUUAUGCGUUAUAUGUUUAUAUUGUUACCUGUAGGAGCUUGAAACAAUGUUCUUAUUUCGUUUUAAAAUACUAGUUUAUCAAAUAAAUUAUAAGCAGUAUAAUGACAUAAGUGACAUUCACUUCAACCAAGUCUACUCUAAUGAGUUUUAAAGUAUCAUUGGUUAAUUUUAGAUGACGUUGCUAACCACCUGUAUGGCCAAAAUAUUUCAUUAUGUCUAGAAUCUUAACAAAACUGUUUAUUUUAUUGUGUGUUUUCUUUACUUGUCUUUAGUUUAUUCACUAAUUGAAACGUUAUGUGCAUCUACUAUAUCAUAUCCCUAAGUAAAUGAACAUCAAGAAAUAGUUCAGUCUAAUAGGGAUGUAUAACUUCGUUAUCAUUCAAAGGGACCAUCUUAUCACCGCACAUAUCAUACGACCGUUAUUUUAAAUUAAUUAUAUCGCCGUAGGUAUACUCUGUCUUUUCCAAAACAAAAAGCAUUCUUGGUCGGUUUAGGUCAAGUGAAUAUGUUAAAUUGCAAUUGUGAGACCCAUUACCCAUUAAAGUGACACUCUUAUUCAUUAUCAGCACAUGCACAUGGGGAACAAACAUAAAUUUUGAGUGACCUUUAACUACUUACUAAAUAAUGUAUUUAUUGAAAAUAUUUAUUACUGAUAACAAGAUUGUCCCAUGUAUUGAAUAGCUGAAAACGCAAAAACAAUUAGAUGAUUGGUGAAUGCUUACAGAUUUACAGUGAUCUACUUUUGUCUUAAUAUAAGGUAUAAUUACAAAGAAUCCCUAAACGUCUUAUUCUCAUUUCAUCUUGUACUUCAGACUAAAAAAAAUCAAAAGAUACUACAGCUUUUAAAAGAGGAAGCAGAUUCUUAUAUAUGUUCUAAUAAGUAUGCUUAGAAAAAAACUGAGGCGAAAAGAUAUUUUCUGUCUUUUUUCUGCACUAAAGCACACAGCCAAUAAAGAGUUUGUAAACAAUCAAAUCCAGAAAUUUUGCAAUAAAUCAAUGCUUGAUAGAUUGCGUUAUAGUUCACCAGAGGAUCCUCUUGGUAGGAGGGCUUUUAUAUUUUGUAAACAUACCUGUGUCUUUAUAGAACUGUGAUAAUCUAAUCGUGUACAUUUUGAUGUUCGUGUUUAUGGUAAUUCACCAAAGAGUUUAUUGUUGUUGUUUUUCAGAACAUUGUUCGGAUCAUAUGUUGAAUUAUUGAAGGAUCAGACGCUUUAAAUAUAAUGUCUUCUUUCGAUCAAUUGUCACUUUUAGUUUUUACUAUAGUAAAACUAUGACUUUACCGACAAUCUUAUUCAGCGUAUUUGCGAUUCCUCGUUGAAACAAAAGCCAUAGUAGAACGAUAUCAAUAUCAAAUUUCAAUCCUUUUAGUUUAUUAUUUGUAUGUUGUUAAAAUAUGUUACCAACUAUAUUCAGCGGCAGGUUAUGUCAGUUGUUAGCGUACUCGUUUUUCACAAAGGUGUCCUUGGUUCCAUUCCCGACCUGUACCAAAACUAAUUUUUCCUUUUACUGUGUUACCAAAUCCUCCCGAUCAACUGAUAAACGAGAUAACAAAAUCUAUUUUUGCUUUUAUAUGGGAUAAUAAACCUGACAAAAUUAAAAGAGAACAGUUAUACCUCUCCCGUGAAAAUGGGGAAUUAGGGCUCCCGAAUUUAAAUAUUUAUACAAGCUAUAAAAUCAAGCUGGAUUAAAAGAUUAAUUGAUGAUAGCAAUCAUGGGAAAUGGAAAAUAUUUUUUAAUAAAACACUUUACAAAAAGGGUGGAAAUAUAAUAUUUGACUGUAAUCUGUAUGAUCUGUAUGAAAACGAUAUCAAAACUUCAUGUGGUCAAAAUAUUUAUCCUUACAUCUUGGAACAUGUUUAGAAAGAAGCAAGCCAACACACACAUAAGAAAAGUCAUAAUUUGGAACAACUCCGAAUUAAAAUGUAAUAAUGAAACAAUAUAUUAUAAAGAAUGGCACGAAAAGCGGAUACUCUAUCUUGAACAUAUCUUCUACUUUAGAUUUAAAAAGUUAUAUUCAUUUGAUAACAUGCAAUUUCUAUACGAAAUCCCCUAUCUAAAGUAUCUUAACUUAUUUAAAAUAUACCUCAAUAUAUAAAAAAUGAACUAAAAUAUCAGAUAUUACAGUUUUGGCUGAAAAAAAAUCGAUGUUUGAAAAAAUUAAGACCCCCGCAAAAAAUAACGCAGUUAUUGAAAUAAAACAUAAACAUAUAUGGGGAAAACUCUUUCAACGAAACACUUAAUUGGAAGGAAGUAUAUUCACUGCCAUAUAUAACAACAAUUGACACAUGUAUGCGAUCCUUUAAGUUUAAGAUAAUCAACAGAAUUAUACCAACAAAUAAAUAUCUAUUUAAAUGCAAAUUAUCCAAUUCUAGUUUAUGCAACUUGUGUUCCAACUUUGAGGAAACAAUAAACCACAUGUUCUGGGAAUGUCAAAUCAUACAAGACCUUGUAUAAAACGUUUUAUUAGGAAUAACCGUGGAAAGAAAUUAUAGCUGCAUUAACUUCAUAGUUAUACUUCUAAAAUUCUACAUUUUCUGUUAAAAAAACCCAGAGAGACUAUUCCUUUCUUCCGAAAUUUUGAAAAAUACUUAUAUAUUCGAAUCAAUAUUGAACGUAAAACAGCUAUUAUGAAAGAUAAAUUAAAUGCCCAUUUGCAAAAAUGGGUUUUUCUUUUAUAAUCAUCAGACAUAUAAUAUAUUUUAGAAAGCCAGUUUGUCUCUUCUCCUUUCCUUAUUGUUUAAAAAAAUAUUGAUAUUUUCUUUCUUUCUUUUUUUUCGCCCAAUCUCCCCCCUUUUUUCUAUAUCAGAAAAUCGCAAAACAAUUGGUUCUUCAUAUGAA